AUGACCGGCGCCGAGGGCCAUUGGACGAAUGGUGUGGUGGUGGAGGUCGAUGUCGGCAGCGCUCAGAAGCAAAGAGGUCCAGCAGCCAUACCAAAGCCGGCAAAGAGUCUAGGGUUUGAAGGGAAAGUUGGAGUUGUUUGUCCUGUCGGCAGGAUCGUCGCAUCCUUCGAGGACCUCUUCAGCCCACCUCCCUCUCCGGCGGCGCUCUCCCCUUCCUCCGGCGCCCUCUCCUCUGGGACCUCUCCCUCUGCUCCUGCUGCAUCCUCCACCACCAUCGCUGCCCUCUCCUCCUCCACUGCUCCCUCCUCCAGCCACUCCCCUCUCAGCAUCCACAACGAUCACAUCUCCAACUAUGUCAAAUUCAAACUGGAUCCUGCUGAGAACAAUUUCUCCAAGUGGCGCACCUUCUUCCGCAUCGUCCUCCUUCAGUAUCGCGUGCAGGAUCAUGUCGACAGCCCGCCCCCUCGCGGUGCCGACGCCGAUUGGCUCGCCGUUGACCAGCGUCUAGUUCUCUGGAUGCUUUUCACCCUGGCUGAUCCUCUCCUCGAGCUCAUCUCUGGCGGCGUCCUCGACGCCUACACGGCCUGGCACCGCAUCGCCGACUACUUACUCGCCAACCAGGGCGCUCAGAUCCUCCACCUCACUCGCCGGUACCGCAACCUGCAGCAGGGUGACCUUCCCGUCAUCGAAUACGCUCGACGCCUCAAGGCUCUUGCGGACAGCCUCGCCGACGCGGGUGCUACCGUCUCCGACAAUGACCUCACCAUGCAGCUCCUCCACGGGCUCUCUCCCCGGUUCGAGACGAUCCGUAUCGUGCUGGGCGACACGAACCCGCUCCCACCCUUCGGCGUCGUCCGUUCUCGGCUCGAGCUGGCCGAGACAAUGAACAUCUUUGUCAAGAACCCCACCGGAACAACCAUCCAGAUCUGGGUUCACCCAUUAGACACCUUCCGUUCCGUCAAGGAGAAGAUCCAGAAGCGGUAUCACCUCAUCUUCAGUGGAGUGCAACUAGAGGAUGACAGUACAUUUGCCGAUUACAACAUCCAGCAGGACUCCAUUCUUGACCUUGAAGAGAAGACACAGAUGUACGUGAUGGAGACACUAAUGGGCAGGAUAAUCAACAACCUUGACACUGACAGCCUAGACACUAUCGACGACGUGAAGGCCAAGAUCUAUGACCUCGAGGGCUUCCCCAUAGAUCAGCAGUGCCUCAUCUUCGCGGGCAAGCGUCUAGAGAACGGGAGCCGCACCUUGGCAGACCACGACAUCUUCAAGGAGUCCACAAUACUUCUUGUCCUCCUCCCAUGUAUUCCGAGAGGAGACAUGAUGGAGAUUUUCGUGAAGGUGCUGACUGGGAAGACCAUCACUCUCAAGGUUGGGAGCUUGGACACCAUUGAUAGCGUCAAGGUGAAGAUCUAUGAGAGGAACUACGCCCCUUUCCCGAAAGAGCAACGCCUCAUCUUUGCUGGCAGGCAGCUGGAGAGCGGCACCUUGGCGGACUACAAGAUCCCGGCUACAAUCGAGGACCCGAACUACUCUGGUGUUGAUGAUGAGGUGAUGGUGAUGUGUGAGCAUGGCCAGCUGGCGAAGAGGCAUGUUUGCUUCGAAGGGAUUAGCACUGGGAGGAGGUUCAUUGCCUGUGGACUUGAUGAAGCAAGCAGUUGUGGUGUUGUUCAUUGGGUAGAUGAGGAGUGGCCAGAGCAUCUGCAGAAUGCUCUUCACAAACUAUGGCUUUUGUAUGAGGAUUGCCAGCGUGCUAAUAGGAUGGCAUGUCUGGAACAUUCAUCACUUGUCCACAAUCUCAUAUCACAGAAGAACAAGCUACAGGAGACUUAUGAGAAGCUUGUUGAGGAUGUGAACAACCUACUUGAUACCCAGGACAAUAUUCCCAAGGAAAAUGAAGUCCAACAAGGUGAACAUGAGGAGAUCACUCCUCCUUUGGUCAACAAUAUUUCAGCUUUGAAGGAACAGCUGGGUGCAAUGGAUGCUGAUAACAAAGAACUGAAGCAAAAGGUUGACCAGUUGAAGAGCAUUCAGGUUGCCCAAGGUAAUGUGAUUAGGAAUCUGAAGUUUGCUCAUUUGAAGGAGAAGGAAAAGUUGAGCACUGAGAGGAGGAAUUUGGAGUUUCACAUUGCUGAUCUUGUCAAAGCUAGUGACAAGAACAAGAGAAAGCUGAAGGACAUCAAGGAUAUUUGCGAUGAAGAGUGA
RNAcentral lists this ribosomal RNA (2208 nucleotides) under Triticum aestivum (bread wheat). RNAcentral's name for it is "partial small subunit ribosomal RNA". Lineage: Eukaryota; Viridiplantae; Streptophyta; Magnoliopsida; Poales; Poaceae. The record is from RNAcentral.